CACGGCUAGUCUGCGGGUGCGCGAACCCUGACAGAGGCCAAAGUUAGAGCCGCCCUUCGACCCUUCUCUUACUUGGCUCCUGUUCAGUCCCUCUGUGGUGUAGUUAAAAACAUAAAUGUGGAAUGUGCAAUCCCAGCCAACCUCUCAGGAGGCAGGGGCAGGAGGAUGCCAGUUCAAGACCUGCCUGGGCAACUUAAAAUCCUGUCUCCAAAUAAAAAGCGAAAGGCUGGAGAUAGAUAGCUCAGGAGUAGGGCGCUUUUUAGCAGGCAGAAAGCCUUGGUUGCCAUCCCCAGUGCUGCCCAGAAGAAAGAAAAAAUUUUUCACAGGCAUUUCUUUUUUCCAUUGGGGUUAAAUAUAGACAGUAUAAAUUUACCGUGCCUCCCCCAAAACACACACCCAGCCCAGGGCACCCACAGUUUCUGUCCUGGCGGGUUUGAAGCCGCUGAGAACCGUCAGUGCCUGUCCUCUUGCCCCUGGCUGCCUUCAUGUAGCAUUCAUCCACAUUGUACCAUGUGUCAGAAUUUCCCUCCCAUUUCAAAAAUAUUUCAUUACACAUUUCCCAAUGCAUUCAGUGGGCACUUGGGAGGUCUCCGGUUUUUGGUGCUGGGAGUAACACUGCCAUGAAAAUGAUUAUACAGAUGUCUCUUUGAGACCGUGUUCUUGGUUCUUUGGGGCAUACCGGAUCAUACUGCUACCAGUGAAACUGGAGUUCCCUUUGUGUGUUCUUAGUCUUGUUAACAAAAGUAUUUAGAAACGGGCUUGGAGCUAGGCAGUAGUGGUGCAUGGCUUUUACACCAACACCGGGGAGGCAGAGACAGGCAAGUCUCUUGUGAGACCAGCCUGGGCUACAGAGCUAGUUCCCGAACAGCCAGGGCUGUUCAACACAAGAAACCCUGUGUUGAAAAUAAAACAAAGAAAGAAAAGGACUUGGAAGGAGGCUUGAGGACAGCUAGAUUAGCAGUUGAGAGAAAAAUAAUAGAGUGGGUGUGUUGGAUAGUUUUAUUUUAUGUGCAUUGGUGUGAGGGUAGAAGAUCCCUUGGAACUGGAGUUACAGACAGUUGUGAGCCAUCAUGUGGGUGCUGGGAACUGAACUUCCAGUUCUUUGGAAGAGCAGACAGUGCUUCUAACCACAGAGCCACUUCUCCAGGCUCAUGUACUAGAUAGUUUUAUGUCAACUUGAUGCAAGCUAAAGUCACCUGAGAGGGGGGAACCUCAAUUUUAAAAAAGUGGCUCCGUGAAAUCUUGCUGCAGGUAAGCCUAUAGGGCCCCAGCCCGUUGUGGGUGGGGCCAUCUCCAGGCUGGUGGUCUUGGAUUCUAUAAGAAAGACUGAACAAGCCAUGGGGAGCAAGCCAGUAAGCAGGACCCCUCCAUGGCAUCAGCUCCUGCCUCUGGGUUCCUGCCCUGUUUGAGUUCCUGUCCUGACUUCCUUCAGUGAUGGAAUACAAUGUGGACAACACUGUAAGCCCAAUUAUAAUGUUACAAGCCCAGUAACCUGUUUCCUCCCCAACUUGUUUUUUGGUCAUAGUGUUUUGUCACAGCAACUGAAACCCUGAUAGAAGCAGAAAAUCAGUCGGCUUCCUCCCUUCCUAGAGGAAGAAGUGAGCUGCCCCUGUUCUGCGGUGUCUCUGAACAUGCCCGUCUCCACCCUGGCCCUCCACGAACUCUCAUGAGCAGCAGCCAGUUGGCUAAGACUAUGGAAACGGAUGAUGAUGAGACAGAGGCAGUUCCCAACUGAUCCUGUGCCAGCAAGGCAUGGCUGCCAUACAGUGUGGAAUGAGGGUGGGCCUGCCGGCCAGGCCACAGGCCUGCUCAGGGAUCAGAAAGUGGGGAGGGAGGGAGGAGGAGGAGUGAUAAGAGCUGGUCAGGAGUGUUCCUGUGCUUAUCCCACGCAGAGGAGGAAACUGAGGCAUGAAACUAGGUUAGAAGUUGGGUAGCUUUAGCCUCUGGAAAUUAGAACAUCUUCGAUCUCAUGGGACACUAGGAUGCCACAGCCCAGGUUGGGGUUCAGAUCAGGCAUGUGUGUGUAGCUGUUUCCUCUGAGUGGGACAUGGUCUCGAACCAGAGCCAACUGUAAUCACCCACCCACUUGGGAACCUCAUGAGAUCAAGCCAUUAACAUUUCUGGUAGGUGGAGGGGAGGUGCUCCUGGGGCUCACAGGCCUUUCAAGAUCUCCUCACUAGGUCCAGCCACUUUCCAAGGUUCUACAGGAGGUGAAAGAAUGCUGAGGAGCUCCAGGGGACACUCUUCAACAGUGUAGCUACCAGGGGGAUCCCUAAAGUUACAACUUUUUUUGUGAGUCAUCUACACUGCAUGUGGGAUUAUCCAGUGAUGUAGACGUCCAUAAAUACCCCAGGGAACUUCUUGGCAGUGUAGCCCCUAUGCAGUUCCUCUUGUCCCUGAAGUAACCCUAAUAAACUCAUUGUUUCACCAAC
This is a long non-coding RNA of Meriones unguiculatus (Mongolian gerbil), 2432 nucleotides long. RefSeq lists it as uncharacterized. The record is from RefSeq and is a predicted model, not a curated record. The transcript has 2 exons. Lineage: Eukaryota; Metazoa; Chordata; Mammalia; Rodentia; Muridae.